AAUGAUAUGUUCUGUGUUCACAGCUAGGUCCUAUUCACUAUAUAGUUCACUUUUUUCUGGGAUUUUCAUUUUGUAGUGGUGUCUGAAAACAUAUCCAGAGCCCUAUUCCAAUCCCGGAUUGGACCCUGCCCAGGAUAAGACAGUUACUGUUACUUAUACAGCUCUCGCUGUGAAGUAGAGGGAUUAGUGAUUUGAACACAGCAAUGGACUGGGAAGGUGAGACACCUUACCUCCUCUGUGUGAGAUGUGCAUGCAGUGGAAGGCUGUCUGCUUCUUCUUGUGCAGGAUGUAUGGAUUCUUCAGCAAGUAGAGGGAUGUUAUGGUGUACCCCCCUACUGCUGGGAGCAGGUAAUACAUGAAACUGGACAUAAUUUCCACAGGCUGUCAAUCCCAAGGAAUCCAGAAAGUAACAAGUCACUACAGGAAAAGAAUUCAGCAGUCAAAGCCAGCCAAGACUGAUUUGUGUUUGGCAUGAAGAAGGUAUUUCCAGAUUACCUGAUUCUGAUUUAUCCUUUGUGUGUCCUCUUGUUGCUUUAUCCUUAUGGGAGGAGAAGGCAGAGAGAGAGAGAGAGAGAGAGAGAGAGAUGGUUUAGACUCCGUUCCCACAGACUUUCCUCACUCUCUUUCACUGCUGACCUGUUUGCUGUCUUUCUGUACACCUUCCUUUUCCCCUGUAUAUCUCCCCUCCUUCUUGUUACCCUCCUGCAUUGAUAGGGUGAUUAAGCUCAGAACUAGUCAAACCGGACAGAACAAGCGAAAAAAAACCACAGUCACUCCUUCUACAUAGACCAUAAAACCUAAAUGUUGCAAUAAUUCUCCUCCUCUCCAGUCAUGCUCUCUCUGGAGGUACGUCUGUGGUUAGUGUAACAUUGUUAGUGGUUAGUCAGUGACUUUCUCUCCUUCUGUUGUCCCUCGUUUCCUGCUAUUGUGAGUGUGUGUGUGUGUGCAUGUAUACAUGCAGGUUUGUAAAAGAAAGAAUGCUGUCAUUGUUCAGGUUUCAUUGCUCGUGUCUGAGUGUUUGUCCAUAUUCAGAUUUGAAUGUGUGAAGUUCAAAUAAAACUGCUAAUAGA
Pangasianodon hypophthalmus (striped catfish) is the source of this 1070-nucleotide long non-coding RNA. RefSeq lists it as uncharacterized. The record is from RefSeq and is a predicted model, not a curated record. The transcript has 2 exons. Lineage: Eukaryota; Metazoa; Chordata; Actinopteri; Siluriformes; Pangasiidae.